Oncorhynchus kisutch (coho salmon) is the source of this 332-nucleotide long non-coding RNA. RefSeq lists it as uncharacterized. NCBI's taxonomy places the organism in Eukaryota, Metazoa, Chordata, Actinopteri, Salmoniformes, Salmonidae. The record is from RefSeq and is a predicted model, not a curated record. The transcript is spliced from 3 exons.
ACAGAAUCUGUAACAACCUCCGUCUCCCCUGUACUACAUACCUGUCUAUAGAGAAGAGGCUGAACUUCACUCUGAGACACAUGGACAUAUCCUGCGAGGCCUACGACCAUUUCCGCCACUGUCUGUGUGAGAUGCAGGAGCUGAGGGAGGGACGGACAUGCUUCACAGUGGAGCAGGUCACACCCUCUUUCCCACAGUGCCUGCUGUAUGAGCGCAUAGAGCAACUGGAGUUGUGGAAAGUGACAGCGGUGCCUGUCUAACCCUCUGAGGAGCUGACCUGCUCCUAGACCUGCUCCUAGACUGCUCCUAGACCUGCUCCUAGACCUGCUCCU